GAUGAAGAACGUAGCGAAAUGCGAUAAGUAAUGUGAAUUGCAGAAUUCAGUGAAUCAUCGAAUCUUUGAACGCACAUUGCGCCCGCCAGUAUUCUGGCGGGCAUGCCUGUCUGAGCGUCAUUUCAACCCUCAUGCCCCUAGGGCGUGGUGUUGGGGAUCGGCCAAAGCCCGCGAGGGACGGCCGGCCCCUAAAUCUAGUGGCGGACCCGUCGUGGCCUCCUCUGCGAAGUAGUGAUAUUCCGCAUCGGAGAGCGACGAGCCCCUGCCGUUAAACCCCCAACUUUCCAAGGUUGACCUCAGAUCAGGUAGGAAUACCCGCUGAACUUAAGCAUAUCAAUAAGCGAGGA
This 347-nucleotide unclassified non-coding RNA is filed under the name soil metagenome. Its description in RNAcentral is "partial contains 5.8S ribosomal RNA, internal transcribed spacer 2, and large subunit ribosomal RNA". The stretch from base 1 to 120 matches the Rfam family "5.8S ribosomal RNA", at positions 35 to 154 of the family's 154-position model. The record is from RNAcentral.